This 1078-nucleotide ribosomal RNA is filed under the name Micrococcus cohnii. RNAcentral describes it as "bacterial SSU rRNA". It matches the Rfam family "Bacterial small subunit ribosomal RNA", at positions 41 to 1134 of the family's 1533-position model. The record is from RNAcentral. Lineage: Bacteria; Bacillati; Actinomycetota; Actinomycetes; Micrococcales; Micrococcaceae.
GGUGGGGGUGCUACCAUGCAGUCGAACGAUGAAGCCGGAGCUUGCUCUGGUGGAUUAGUGGCGAACGGGUGAGUAACACGUGAGUAACCUACCCUUGACUCUGGGAUAAGCCCGGGAAACUGGGUCUAAUACCGGAUAUGAGUCAUCACCGCAUGGUGGUGGUUUGAAAGAUUUAUCGGUCUUGGAUGGACUCGCGGCCUAUCAGCUUGUUGGUGAGGUAAUGGCUCACCAAGGCGACGACGGGUAGCCGGCCUGAGAGGGUGACCGGCCACACUGGGACUGAGACACGGCCCAGACUCCUACGGGAGGCAGCAGUGGGGAAUAUUGCACAAUGGGCGGAAGCCUGAUGCAGCGACGCCGCGUGAGGGAUGACGGCCUUCGGGUUGUAAACCUCUUUCAGUAGGGAAGAAGCGAAAGUGACGGUACCUGCAGAAGAAGCACCGGCUAACUACGUGCCAGCAGCCGCGGUAAUACGUAGGGUGCGAGCGUUAUCCGGAAUUAUUGGGCGUAAAGAGCUCGUAGGCGGUUUGUCGCGUCUGUCGUGAAAGUCCGGGGCUUAACCCCGGAUCUGCGGUGGGUACGGGCAGACUGGAGUGCAGUAGGGGAGACUGGAAUUCCUGGUGUAGCGGUGGAAUGCGCAGAUAUCAGGAGGAACACCGAUGGCGAAGGCAGGUCUCUGGGCUGUAACUGACGCUGAGGAGCGAAAGCAUGGGGAGCGAACAGGAUUAGAUACCCUGGUAGUCCAUGCCGUAAACGUUGGGCACUAGGUGUGGGGAACAUUCCACGUUUUCCGCGCCGUAGCUAACGCAUUAAGUGCCCCGCCUGGGGAGUACGGCCGCAAGGCUAAAACUCAAAGGAAUUGACGGGGGCCCGCACAAGCGGCGGAGCAUGCGGAUUAAUUCGAUGCAACGCGAAGAACCUUACCAAGGCUUGACAUGUUCCCGUUCGCCGUAGAGAUACGGUUUCCCCUUUGGGGCGGGUUCACAGGUGGUGCAUGGUGUCGUCAGCUCGUGUCGUGAGAUGUGGGUAAGUCCCGCAACGAGCGCAACCCUCGUUCCAUGUUGCCAGCACUUCGUGG